UUAAACUGAAAAUUGGGGAUUUUUUUUAAAUCAGAGAAAACCUGGAUCCCUGCUUAUCACACAACCAAAUCUGACCCUGGAAAACAGCCUGGCCGAGCAGGCUGGAUGAGCCAGUGGAGAACCCCUUAUCACUGUUCCAUAUUCGGGGUUGGUUUUGCUCUGUGAUAUCUGUGCCUUUCCUAUGUGAAUACAAUGAUGGAUGCAUUUGUAUAAGGAAGGGUGAUUCAAAGGGCCACCAAUGAAGCUGCUCUGGAGCAUCAGUGCUCAGAGAGAUCUUACAGAACAGGGCACCACGGUGCAGAGAAGAGUACAAGGAAUCAAUCAAAGAACUGGUGUUCUGCUGCUGUCAAAAGAAAUUCAACCCCAGUCUAAGUCUGGAACCAGAGUUUACAUAUGGUUUGGCUCCUAGUGAUCUAAUUUCUCAUCCGGAAUGAUAUUCUUCUACCAAAGGAGGAAGAACAAGAGGAUAUCAUGGAUGUUUCCCUUAGGAACCAAGAAUGAAUGAAUGGAUCAAUGGAUGGAUGGAUUUAUUUCACCAUUCAAAACUUAAUCUAAAUUGAAAGCAGACAUUCACUGAGAUAUAAAUAUUAGGUCAUCUUUUUAAAAAGAUCUUUUGUGGAUUUCUUGGGCUCAUUUAGGAAUAUAAAUACCAAGCUACUUUGAAAAACACGCUUGUUAUAGUAUAUUUGAUCAAAUGAAAAUUUGAAAGUGCAUAUUUCAAGAAAUUCUACCAUACAAUUUUCAAUUUAGCUUCCAAAAGGAAGAGGUCUGGAUACAUUCAGAGGAGUCAGCAAUGGGCAAUUACUCUAUAGAAACCUUUAACCAAAUUCACCAAAAAAUAACAAAGGGUUACACCCUGCUUUUAUUGCAUGUGCAAAACUCCCAUUAAGUAAGGAUAGGAUGGGACCCACCUGAAAAGAGACCAGCAUCAUAAGUUGAUUUGCAAACUUCCACCAAAAAGUUGCCAAACACUCUGUGUCUAAUGGAUAUAAGGUACUUGGCAGAAGAAAGCUUCAUUUCAUGUCCUAUUACCACACUAGAGCUAAUGCAG
Alligator mississippiensis (American alligator) is the source of this 1051-nucleotide long non-coding RNA. RefSeq lists it as uncharacterized. Lineage: Eukaryota; Metazoa; Chordata; Crocodylia; Alligatoridae. The transcript is spliced from 3 exons. The record is from RefSeq and is a predicted model, not a curated record.